This is a long non-coding RNA of Alexandromys fortis (reed vole), 1249 nucleotides long. RefSeq lists it as uncharacterized. NCBI's taxonomy places the organism in Eukaryota, Metazoa, Chordata, Mammalia, Rodentia, Cricetidae. The record is from RefSeq and is a predicted model, not a curated record. The transcript is spliced from 2 exons.
UGUAAGAGGAAUGUAGACCAAGAAACUCAGAAGACCCAGAGGCAAAGGGCAAAUAAAGAAGUUCAGGAGGAUACACACCCCAGGAUAGAGGAUCCAAGCCCAAGGCAUAGCUGUAGGUUAUUGAUGCCUCCUGUGUGAGCACUGACCACUCUGUUACCAACAUAUCAGUUCAUCACUUAGCUUUGAAGCAAAUACUGCAAUUCUGACUUUAUAGAUAAAGAAGUCAGUGCUAGGAUAAGGUAACCACCCAAAGUCAUUCAGGAAAUUCAAGAGCUGGGGGUAGACAGAUUCACAUCUGUCUGGAUAGCAUACAAUCAGAUCCUGACAAUAGAUGGUCAGUCUAAACUCACGAGGACUAAAAGGAUAGAGUUUAAAUAAAGAAAAAAAACAAUGUCAUGGCUUCCUCACAUGUGCUUAGAAAAGGGAACAUAAAAUAGGUCUCGGUUCUUUGUUUAGUGAUACCUUGCAUUCUUCCAAAGCAGGUGGCAGACAUUUAUCCAUGGGUAUUAUCAUCAUGCUAGUACUAGUAUUACUAGUACCAAUAUUUGCUCUAAUCUGUUAUGUGAUAUACACCAAGAAGCGCCGCUCCUAUCAAGACAUCCUGUAGGUUUUCCUUACACCUGCCUUUACCGAGACUCAGACUUACCGGCUUCUAGGACUUCAGUCCUGGUUGGCUGAGGAACUGAGGAGGGUAAAACAACCUUGAAGAAAGUGAAGAGCAACCAGCGCACCCUUUCAAUAUUUAUUUUAAAAAUUAAUUUCUUUUUCAUUGUAUUACAAGUUUAUAAAAGCCCAGGUGGUUUGGAACAAACACAAUUGCAAAUAAACAUACCUGCCAAGAACGAGCUCUGGGCAGUAUUUUAUGGGGUUUGCACUGAACUGGAAAGCACAGAUCCUGCCCAAACUGAUGGUUCCAAGUUUGUUGAAAAGUGUAAAGUCCAAUGCCAACAUGGUUGAACUCUACAGGGUUCAAGAAACCUAGAAGUACUUAUUUGAGAGGAGAGGUGACACAGAUUUUAAAGUAAACUCAAAUAUUUGCAAAUAUCAGCACUGUUUGAUAUCUUAGAUCCACACCUGAUGGAUGUCCAUCUAAUGACAACUCAAGGACUUCCAGUUUGUGGCUCUUUAAAAGAAAAUAUUUGUCCUAAAUGCCAUAAUGACAAUCUUAGGACAGAGUCUCUACUGUAAACAUGUAUUCAUGACUGAUGGGUGUGUUCUCUUUAAAAUAAAAUUUAGGAGGUCUCUUGGG